GUUGUCCGGAAUUACUGGGCGUAAAGAGCUCGUAGGUGGUUUGUCGCGUCGUUUGUGUAAGCCCGCAGCUUAACUGCGGGACUGCAGGCGAUACGGGCAUAACUUGAGUGCUGUAGGGGAGACUGGAAUUCCUGGUGUAGCGGUGGAAUGCGCAGAUAUCAGGAGGAACACCGAUGGCGAAGGCAGGUCUCUGGGCAGUAACUGACGCUGAGGAGCGAAAGCAUGGGUAGCGAACAGGAUUAGAUACCCUGGUAGUCCAUGCCGUAAACGGUGGGCGCUAGGUGCGAGUCCCUUCCACGGGGUUCGUGCCGUAGCUAACGCAUUAAGCGCCCCGCCUGGGGAGUACGGCCGCAAGGCUAAAACUCAAAGGAAUUGACGGGGGCCCGCACAAGCGGCGGAGCAUGUGGAUUAAUUCGAUGCAACGCGAAGAACCUUACCUGGGCUUGACAUACACCAGAUCGCCGUAGAGAUACGGUUUCCCUUUGUGGUUGGUGUACAGGUGGUGCAUGGUUGUCGUCAGCUCGUGUCGU
Molecule: ribosomal RNA, 530 nt
Filed under: uncultured bacterium
Lineage: Bacteria
Description: bacterial SSU rRNA
Rfam family: Bacterial small subunit ribosomal RNA
Source: RNAcentral